Molecule: ribosomal RNA, 250 nt
Filed under: uncultured bacterium
Lineage: Bacteria
Description: partial 16S ribosomal RNA
Rfam family: Bacterial small subunit ribosomal RNA
Source: RNAcentral
GAUCCUGGCUCAGAUUGAACGCUGGCGGCAGGCCUAACACAUGCAAGUCGAACGGUAACAGGAAACAGCUUGCUGUUUCGCUGACGAGUGGCGGACGGGUGAGUAAUGUCUGGGAAACUGCCUGAUGGAGGGGGGAUAACUACUGGAAACGGUAGCUAAUACCGCAUAACGUCGCAAGACCAAAGAGGGGGACCGUUCGGGCCGUCUUGCCAUCAGAUGUGCCCACGAUGGGAUUAGCUAGUAGGUGGGG